RNAcentral lists this ribosomal RNA (253 nucleotides) under uncultured bacterium. RNAcentral's name for it is "partial 16S ribosomal RNA". It matches the Rfam family "Bacterial small subunit ribosomal RNA", at positions 524 to 776 of the family's 1533-position model. The record is from RNAcentral.
UACGUAGGGUGCAAGCGUUAAUCGGAAUUACUGGGCGUAAAGCGUGCGCAGGCGGUUCUGCAAGUCAGAUGUGAAAUCCCCGGGCUCAACCUGGGAACUGCAUUUGAAACUACGGAGCUAGAGUGUGUCAGAGGGGGGUAGAAUUCCACGUGUAGCAGUGAAAUGCGUAGAGAUGUGGAGGAAUACCGAUGGCGAAGGCAGCCCCCUGGGAUGACACUGACGCUCAUGCACGAAAGCGUGGGGAGCAAACAGG